This 1139-nucleotide long non-coding RNA is filed under the name Homo sapiens (human). RNAcentral describes it as "long intergenic non-protein coding RNA 2941". Lineage: Eukaryota; Metazoa; Chordata; Mammalia; Primates; Hominidae. The record is from RNAcentral.
ACCAUUCAGCAGCAGCUAGGCUAUGCCUCUCAUGAUCAUGACACGUAGUGGAAAUUUUCCUGGCUUCUAUACAUCAUCAUCUCUGCCUGAUUGGUUUGCCAUGGCUCUUUGAAACAGUUACUCUUGUCCUCAUUGUAGAGAUGGCGAUACUAAGGCAGAAUAUGUUUCUCUUGCUCAUCGGACCAAAGUUUGGAAUCACGUCUCAUCUUCGUGUAUUUUGAAAAUCUAACAAAUCUAGAAGAUGGUGUGAAUGUGCAUAUAUUUAGACAAUUUAAAAUUUUGUCAAGGACAUGAAAGAAAGACAUGUUUUCUAACAAAACAGAAAAAAACAAAAAUAAGAACAGAAUGCUUUUAACAUUGCUUAAAGAACUACAGAACUAUGGUGGCAAAGUGAGUAUGUCAUACAAGGCUAGCCUGGACUUCUUUUUGUGGAGACUGGAUUCCAAGAUUGAAAGUAGAAGCUACAUGUUUUCUCCAAGCAGGGCUUUCAGACUUCACUUCUGCAACAUUUUAUUGAUGAAAGCAAGUCACAAGACCAGACUGAUUCAAGGGGUGGAGAAAUAGACCCUACUUCUUGAUGGAGGGAGGAGUAGAGUUACAUUGCAAAGGGAUCUGGACAAAAAAAGGAGUGAUUUAUUAGGAAUCAUGUUUAACAAUUUACCACAAUCCCCAGCGCAACUGCCUGUUAGCUGGAUCCAGAAAUGUCUACGACUACUGCAAUGCCACUUGGCCUUAGGGGUGAUGUGACCCAGUGUAAAGAGAUGGUGGUCUUAACCAAUCACAGUUAAGAUAGUUUAGUUUUGGAAGGUAUAAAAAAUAUGUAACAACAUGAAUGCACUUUUAGGGUCAGACAAGAGACUUGGAAAGAGCCUGCAAAAUGGAGGAGCCCUGAGGCCUAAGUCUCAUGAGUGUCAAUGCUUACCUGUAUCUAGACACUGGCAUCCCCCUUUUGAUAAGGCCAAGAUUGAUUGUUUUCCUUUUCUACCUACCCUAUAUCUAAUCCAUGUACAAACACUGUUGACACACAAAAGAACCCUAAAUUCAACAAUCUGUGAAGAAUUUUUGCACUAACAUGUUAGUUCAAAAACUCAACAUUGCUUGCUAAGACUAUUGCAAUAAACUCCUCUAUGAUCCCCUAA